Molecule: ribosomal RNA, 467 nt
Filed under: uncultured bacterium
Lineage: Bacteria
Description: partial 16S ribosomal RNA
Rfam family: Bacterial small subunit ribosomal RNA
Source: RNAcentral
GAUGAACGCUGGCGGCGCGCCUAACACAUGCAAGUCGAACGAUUAAAGCACCUUCGGGUGUGUAUAAAGUGGCGAACGGCUGAGUAACACGUGGGCAACCUGCCCCUCUCAUUGGGAUAGCCACGGGAAACCGUGGAUAAUACCGAAUACUUCGGGACUUCCGCAUGGAAGACUCGAGAAAGCUCCGGCGGAGAGGGAUGGGCCCGCGGCCUGUUAGCUUGUUGGUGGGGUAAUGGCCUACCAAGGCAAUGAUGGGUAGCUGAGUUGAGAGACCGACCAGCCAGAUUGGGACUGAGACACGGCCCAGACUCCUACGGGAGGCAGCAGUGGGGAAUCUUGCACAAUGGGCGAAAGCCUGAUGCAGCGACGCCGCGUGCGGGAUGAAGGCCUUCGGGUUGUAAACCGCUUUCAGCAGGGACGAGGCGAAAGUGACGGUACCUGCAGAAGAAGCCCCGGCUAACUACGUG